Molecule: non-coding RNA, 45 nt
Organism: Schistosoma curassoni
Lineage: Eukaryota; Metazoa; Platyhelminthes; Trematoda; Strigeidida; Schistosomatidae
Source: Rfam
AUUCAGCCGAAGAGUCCUCAAUAGGACGAAACGCACCUCCUGGAU